AGAACGAACGCUGGCGGCGUGGAUAAGACAUGCAAGUCGAACGCGACUUAUUGUGUUAGCAAUAACAUGGUAAGUUGAGUGGCGAAAGGGUGCGUAACACGUGGGAAUUUACCAAGAAGUGGGGAAUAGCUCGACGAAAGUCGAAUUAAUACCGCAUACGAUCGCAAGAUCAAAGCCGGGGACCGCAAGGCCUGGCGCUUUUUGAGAAGCCCGCGGCCCAUCAGCUAGUUGGCGGGGUAACGGCCCACCAAGGCUAUGACGGGUAGCUGGUCUGAGAGGACGACCAGCCACACUGGAACUGAGACACGGUCCAGACACCUACGGGUGGCAGCAGUCGAGAAUUUUUUCACAAUGGAC
RNAcentral lists this ribosomal RNA (357 nucleotides) under uncultured bacterium. Its description in RNAcentral is "SSU rRNA". It matches the Rfam family "Bacterial small subunit ribosomal RNA", at positions 26 to 376 of the family's 1533-position model. The record is from RNAcentral.